This is a non-coding RNA of Pelobates cultripes (western spadefoot toad), 201 nucleotides long. The record is from the annotation of a GenBank genome assembly. NCBI's taxonomy places the organism in Eukaryota, Metazoa, Chordata, Amphibia, Anura, Pelobatidae.
AAUAAUUACACCACAAUAUGAGUCAAACAUGAAUAAUUCAUCAAGUUAAAUUUGGUGUAUAUAGCUUCAAGCAGUACAGCUGCCAAAUGGACUUUAAAGAUUUAACCAUUAUUAUGUUAGAUGAACCAUAAACACCCUUUCUACACUCAGAAAAAAUAGUUUUGCUACAUUUGCUUGUCAUGGGUGUAGAACAUGUCCCCC